RNAcentral lists this ribosomal RNA (375 nucleotides) under uncultured bacterium. RNAcentral describes it as "bacterial SSU rRNA". It matches the Rfam family "Bacterial small subunit ribosomal RNA", at positions 521 to 896 of the family's 1533-position model. The record is from RNAcentral.
UAAUACGUAGGGGGCUAGCGUUGUCCGGAAUCAUUGGGCGUAAAGAGCGCGUAGGCGGCCCGGUAAGUCCGCUGUGAAAGUCAAAGGCUCAACCUUUGAAUGUCAGCGGAUACUGCCGGGCUAGAGUCCGGAAGAGGCGAGUGGAACUCCUGGUGUAGCGGUGGAAUGCGCAGAUAUCAGGAAGAACACCAACGGCGAAGGCAGCUCGCUAGGACGGUACUGACGCUGAGGCGCGAAAGCGUGGGGAGCGAACAGGAUUAGAUACCCUGGUAGUCCACGCCGUAAACGAUGGAUGCUAGCCGUUGGCAGGCUUGCCUGUCAGUGGCGCAGCUAACGCAUUAAGCAUCCCGCCUGGGGAGUACGGUCGCAAGAUUA